GCUCUUGUGGUCGCCCUGGACGUAGAAAUCCAGCAGGACUGUCUCUGACUGAGGGACUGCUUCUCUGUCCAGUCAAAAAUAUCACCUCCGUGUUCUCGCGAUAUCACAGCGUCUCGCGGUCACUUGGAGCUCGUGUGAGAUGAACUGAACCUUCGCUAAGCCCCGCCCUGCAUAGUUACCGUUACUAAGGUGGCGGAUUUUUAAAAAAAUCAAAAUGGCUUCUUGAUUUCCUUCAGAUAAAUUAUACUGGACUGCAGCGUUGGGACAAAUGAAUAAUAAACAAUAAUGAGUUAGUGCCCAUGCUUGACUGAACUUGUGGAGGAUGUCCAGGCUCUGCUGUAAGGCCUCUUUGGAGGGAGACAAGAGAACCAGGUCAUCAGCAAACAUCAGACAUUUGACCUCUGUGUCCUGCAGAGUCACACCAGGAGCUGUGAAUGUUUGCAGUUGUUCUGCAAAUGAUAAAGUCCCUGCAUGUUUUGAAGGCAGACAGCACAAGCCUCAAA
Molecule: long non-coding RNA, 503 nt
Organism: Thunnus maccoyii (southern bluefin tuna)
Lineage: Eukaryota; Metazoa; Chordata; Actinopteri; Scombriformes; Scombridae
Exons: 3
Source: RefSeq, a predicted model, not a curated record